Triticum dicoccoides is the source of this 3143-nucleotide long non-coding RNA. RefSeq lists it as uncharacterized. The record is from RefSeq and is a predicted model, not a curated record. The transcript is spliced from 14 exons. Lineage: Eukaryota; Viridiplantae; Streptophyta; Magnoliopsida; Poales; Poaceae.
CCCUGCCACGCCGCCGCCGUCGCCACUCGUCCGGGCACCUAUCCACGACCCCGCGCUGCCCCUCUCCUCUUCCUCCCGCCUCACCUCUAUCUUUCUCUCUCUCUCCUCUUCAAACCUUAACCCUAGCAACUAGCCUCCGCUUGCCGCUGCAGCUGCUCCUGCUCAAGGACGAGGUGAUGAAGAUCACCCCCGUGCAGAAGCAGACGCGCGCCAACCAGCGCACCCGCUUCAAGGCCUUCGUCGGUGGCGGCAACAGCAACGGCCACGUCGGCCUCGGUGUCAAGUGCGCCAAGGAGGCGGCCACGGCCAUCCGCGGCACCAUCAUCCUCGCCAAGCCCCUUGGGGGUCUAGAAUCAUGGCCGCCCGCGUCCCCAAGAAGUAGCUGCAGUUCGUCGGCAUCGAUGAUGUCUUCACUUCCUCUCGUCGAUCCACCAAGGUAGAGGGACAAAAAUUGAAGAUUCAAAUGAGCGACUCAAAUUCAGGAUUUGAGUUACCAACGUAGUGUCUACGACUGGCUGAUGGUUCAAGAGUUCGAAGAAAGUCAAGCAGAAUGGAAUACUACACAUGCCCACGCUGCUAUAUGCCAAGGAUGGACAAGGGUAUCAUUAUGUAUAUAUGUGAUAGUCGUGGUGUCCCUGAAAUUUACGAGGAAGAUGGAGCUAGCACGAUUGGUGCAUCAGAACCUUCAGUUGUCCUGCUUAUUUCUGAGACCAAUUUAUAGCUCAGAAUGUACCUAUUCAUUUGUGAUGAUGACGAUGAGAUCAAUUUUGUUUCUGUCAAAAGCUGAGGUAACUAUUUUUAAUCCUUGUGCCUUUAGUCAGUUUGACAGCUACACAUUGGAUAUAGAUAAUGUAAGUAAUCUUAAAUAGAGUGAAAGCUUUCAUUUCCUACAGAUUGCAGGCUACAAAAUUGUCUAUCGUAUUAUCACAAAGUAGGAGAGAGAACUAUUAUGCAAACACACCAAGACACAUUGUUAUCCACGUUACAUAUUUGCCGGAACAUUCAUACAUGUUGGCUACCAAUUAUUCACCAUAAAUCCAGAAGAGAACUAGCAUAACAAUUGGAGCUUUGUCCUGCAAAUUAUUUAAAGCUUCAAACUCCGAGCUACAGCCUGGAAGACAGGUUUUUGGGGUUUAGCUUAGCAUGCAUAGUUGACGCGGAAUGCAACUAUAACCGGCGCAGCGGAGUGCGCCUUACCCUUCUGCUUAUUGUGCUUGCAGUUCUUCGAGUCAAAAUGCUAUCCAGUCGGCUCCCAAUUCUGCUUAUUAUGGUCUUUGCUUAGCCAUAUAAUCAAAUGCCAGAUAGGUCACAUGGUUGAUUAGAAAAAGAGCAUUGAGGGUCUAUGCUUAUUGUGGUUGCAGUUCUUCGAAUGAAAAUGUUAUUCUUGGUUUCUAGAUUAAUUUGGUUAUCCAGUCGGCUCCCAGUUUCCAGUUUCUUAUUAUACGAGGAAUCGAUGGUUUACUGUUAAUUAUUUUGUUUUAUUUUUUUCUUGGUUUUUUGCUUGAUGUGUUUUCGAUUGGGAGCUCUCCACUGGGGAAGAUACCUCCACGCCCAGCCACCUCUUCACCACCACGCGCUAGUCAGCGCAUGAGGCGGCGGAACUGGCGGCGCCGUCCAGCAGGAGAACAUACACGAUAUAACCCUUGCUCAUUCAUGUACGUGAAGUUGAGCAUGCCCGCACUGAUGGGCGCCAUCACCGUUGACGGCAAGAGUGCAAGUCGCGGCUCAGGCCGCUGCUCCGUUGGGAUCACCAUCGUGUGCGGUCAUUGUACUCGCGUUGCACGUGUGCUCAGAGUUGUUGAUGCAAUGAGAGCUCGAUGUCGUGUCCGCCGGCUGAGCGGCAAGCCGGAGCUGCAAGUCUAUGAACAUGGUGGUGCUACUGUCAUCAGUGUUCCCUAUAUAUCAUCCAUUGCGAUCAAUUAAGAGGUGAAUACAUCAUGUUUGGCAAUAAAUCUCGCUUAGACAAAGAAGAUGUUUGUCUAUAAUUUUCUACCCUCUUGAAUAUGCACACCACCACCCCGCGAUCUUCUCGGAGAACCUCUGAGUGUGUUUGAGCGACAUCACCACAUCCGAUGGAGCCAGUCGUGCACUUUACGAUGUUUUCAUGCACCAUGUUAACAUGAAUGGAUAUGAUGGUAUGAUCUCCAUGAGCCUCAAUACUGCCAUCAGAUCAGGAGAGCUAAUUCUCACUAUCUCGACGGGGUGGCGACCAUUCCCGUGAGGCCCGGCCACGAGCAGUGCUCCUUUUGCUGAGCGCCGAGGAGUCGAAGGGUGCUCCGGAUUCGGAUCUGGGCGCGGUGGCGUCCAUGGCCAAGCUCGAACCUGGGCGUGUGGGCGCGUUGGUGAUCGUGGCAGCGGUCGGGGCCGAGCUCUGAGCACGGUGGCUGCCAUGGCCGAACUCGACUGUCUCGUACGUGACGAUUCGCCACCAGACAAGAAUAAAGGAGGAGCGAGCGGCGGAGAUGAGAGGAUCAGCAGCCAUGGCGACCACUCACCCAGAACUAGACAUGUGAUUUCAUCUGGUCCAUCAUGGAGUACUGCAAAUCUACCAUGCAAACGGUAUUUUGCUGGUACGAGGAGACAUGGCUGGAAGCAACGGCGAAGCACACCAGUAGUAUCUCUGUUUGGGAGAAAGAGCGCAAAGAGGACCACCAGAGAAACGGUUGUUCCAGACCCAGACUAUCGACUACCAAUCGCUAUACUUGUUUUGCUCUUCCUAGGAUGGCCUGGAUGGCCUGAGGUGAGCAGCCUUUGAUACGCCGUGUUAGGCGCCCAGGUGUUGCCUUUCUGAUAAAUCAGGCUACCACCGACCAGCUCGAGCUCGCUUCAGCCUCCACCUCUAGCCCCUAACAGCCUCCUCCUCUCAUCUUGCAGCUACUACCUCAUCGCCAUGCUACAACAAAAAAGAUUCAUGUGAGGCGGUCCCUAUGAAGUACAUCGACGAGACAGAUGGAUUACGCCAUCUAUUAGUAUGCUUAGUGAUUCUGUAGUUGGCUCUUUUUAUUAUGUUCAUGUUCUUAUUAACUCCUCUUAUGUGUUCUCGCAAUUGGUAUCGAACUUCAUGUCGAAUGGCUAUCUUUUGUGGUCGUAUGAACGGGUCGAGCUUGAUCCUGCCUUAUAAAUUGAUGUUGUCUUGUGCUCCA